CCUACGGGAGGCAGCAGUGGGGAAUCUUGCGCAAUGGGCGAAAGCCUGACGCAGCAACGCCGCGUGCGGGAAGAAGGCUUUCGGGCUGUAAACCGCUUUCAGCAGGAACGAAAAUGACGGUACCUGCAGAAGAAGGAGCGGCCAACUAUGUGCCAGCAGCCGCGGUGAUACAUAGGCUUCAAGCGUUGUCCGGAUUUAUUGGGCGUAAAGAGUUCGUAGGCGGUCGAGUAAGUCGGGUGUGAAAAUUCUGGGCUCAACCCAGAGACGCCACCCGAUACUGCUUGACUUGAGUUCGAUAGGGGAGUGGGGAAUUCCUAGUGUAGCGGUGAAAUGCGCAGAUAUUAGGAGGAACACCGGUGGCGAAGGCGCCACUCUGGAUCGAUACUGACGCUGAGGAACGAAAGCAUGGGUAGCAAACAGGAUUAGAUACCCUGGUAGUCCAUGCCGUAAACGGUGGGCACUAGGUGUGGGUUUCUAUUAACGAAAUCCGCGCCGUCGCUAACGCAUUAAGUGCCCCGCUGGGGAGUACGGUCGCAAGCUAAAACUCAAGGAAUUGACGG
RNAcentral lists this ribosomal RNA (560 nucleotides) under uncultured bacterium. RNAcentral describes it as "bacterial SSU rRNA". It matches the Rfam family "Bacterial small subunit ribosomal RNA", at positions 338 to 916 of the family's 1533-position model. The record is from RNAcentral.